Molecule: ribosomal RNA, 613 nt
Filed under: Somion unicolor
Lineage: Eukaryota; Fungi; Basidiomycota; Agaricomycetes; Polyporales; Cerrenaceae
Description: LSU rRNA
Rfam family: Eukaryotic large subunit ribosomal RNA
Source: RNAcentral
CCGCUGAACUUAAGCAUAUCAAUAAGCGGAGGAAAAGAAACUAACAAGGAUUCCCCUAGUAACUGCGAGUGAAGCGGGAAAAGCUCAAAUUUAAAAUCUGGCAGCCUUUGGUUGUCCGAGUUGUAGUCUGGAGAAGCGUCUUCCGCGCUGGACCGUGUACAAGUCCCUUGGAAUAGGGCGUCAUAGAGGGUGAGAAUCCCGUCUUUGACACGGACUCCCAGUGCUUUGUGAUGCGCUCUCAAAGAGUCGAGUUGUUUGGGAAUGCAGCUCAAAAUGGGUGGUAAAUUCCAUCUAAAGCUAAAUAUUGGCGAGAGACCGAUAGCGAACAAGUACCGUGAGGGAAAGAUGAAAAGCACUUUGGAAAGAGAGUUAAACAGUACGUGAAAUUGCUGAAAGGGAAACGCUUGAAGUCAGUCGCGUCAUGCAGAACUCAGCCUGGCUUUUGCUCGGUGUAUUUUCUGCAUGACGGGCCAGCAUCAGUUUUGGUCGCUGGAAAAAGUCUCCAGGAAUGUGGCACCUUCGGGUGUGUUAUAGCCUGGAGUCGUAUACAGCGCCGGGACUGAGGAUCGCAGCGCGCCUYYAUGSCUGGGGUCGCCCACAUCGCGCUAGGAUG